RNAcentral lists this ribosomal RNA (768 nucleotides) under Microbacterium oleivorans. Its description in RNAcentral is "bacterial SSU rRNA". It matches the Rfam family "Bacterial small subunit ribosomal RNA", at positions 81 to 860 of the family's 1533-position model. Lineage: Bacteria; Bacillati; Actinomycetota; Actinomycetes; Micrococcales; Microbacteriaceae. The record is from RNAcentral.
UGCUCUGUGGAUCAGUGGCGAACGGGUGAGUAACACGUGAGCAACCUGCCCCUGACUCUGGGAUAAGCGCUGGAAACGGCGUCUAAUACCGGAUAUGAGCUGCGAUCGCAUGGUCAGCAGUUGGAAAGAUUUUUCGGUCUGGGAUGGGCUCACGGCCUAUCAGCUUGUUGGUGAGGUAAUGGCUCACCAAGGCGUCGACGGGUAGCCGGCCUGAGAGGGUGACCGGCCACACUGGGACUGAGACACGGCCCAGACUCCUACGGGAGGCAGCAGUGGGGAAUAUUGCACAAUGGGCGAAAGCCUGAUGCAGCAACGCCGCGUGAGGGAUGACGGCCUUCGGGUUGUAAACCUCUUUUAGCAGGGAAGAAGCGAAAGUGACGGUACCUGCAGAAAAAGCGCCGGCUAACUACGUGCCAGCAGCCGCGGUAAUACGUAGGGCGCAAGCGUUAUCCGGAAUUAUUGGGCGUAAAGAGCUCGUAGGCGGUUUGUCGCGUCUGCUGUGAAAUCCCGAGGCUCAACCUCGGGUCUGCAGUGGGUACGGGCAGACUAGAGUGCGGUAGGGGAGAUUGGAAUUCCUGGUGUAGCGGUGGAAUGCGCAGAUAUCAGGAGGAACACCGAUGGCGAAGGCAGAUCUCUGGGCCGUUACUGACGCUGAGGAGCGAAAGGGUGGGGAGCAAACAGGCUUAGAUACCCUGGUAGUCCACCCCGUAAACGUUGGGAACUAGUUGUGGGGUCCAUUCCACGGAUUCCGUGACGCAGCUAACGCAU